This 1649-nucleotide unclassified non-coding RNA is filed under the name Zea mays. RNAcentral's name for it is "misc RNA Zm00001eb009350". Lineage: Eukaryota; Viridiplantae; Streptophyta; Magnoliopsida; Poales; Poaceae. The record is from RNAcentral.
GACGAAACUAAGAAAUGGGACCCUGUCACGUACUCACGUCCAAACAUAUAUCCAUCCGCAGCCAAUGACGACACGCCGGGUGGUUCACUCGCUGCCCGGACCGGAGGUAGCUUUGGUGACGCUGGUGAAGACGACACUGCUGCCGAGCAGGUCCUUGCCGAUGUCGGCGGUGAAGGUGUCGUAACGGAGGAAGAGCUCGACGAGGAAGAGCCUGCCAACGAGCACCACAAAGUUCUUGCCGGGGCACUGCUUGUUGUCGACGGUGGGGUUCUCGGUCUCGCGGCCGUUGGACCAGUAGACGUACUGCAGCAGCUUGCUGCCCUCCUCGCCGAGGAACCGGCCGGGCACGAACUCCUUGGCCGUGGCGCCGAACACGCGGGGGUCCUUGGUGGCGCACGGCUGGUAGCCGAACAGCAUCUCGCCCUUCUUCACCUGGAACACGGCGUCGUGGCUCUGGACCUGCAGGUCUUUCUUGGCGUGGCCGUACUGGAACUUGACGGGCGGGUCCAGGCGCAGCGACUCCCACACGACCGACUUGGCCAGCUCCAUCUUCUCCACCGCCGCGAGGGUGACCUUGCCGCCGGCCUCGGCCACGGCGCCUCGAAUCUCAGCCACCAGCCGCUCGUGGAGCUUCUCGCCGGCGCUGGCGACGUUGGCCAGGAUGCCCGGGAACAGCACCUUGAGGCCGCCGUAGCUGUUGAAGGUGGUGGCGAAGAGGAGGUUGUGGCAGGCCUCCUCGCGCGACAGGCCCAGGCCCUCGGCGGUGUCCAGCGCCUGCUUCGCCACCGUGGAGAAGUACUUGUACAGCGCCCCGUAGUCGCCCUUGACGAAGAAGGGCGGGAGGUGGAACGUGUGGAGCAGCGGCUCCUCGAGGACCAUGGGGAGGCCGAGCGUGAGGAGCGGGUGGAGCUGCCAGAUGAGCCACUUGGCCGCCUUGGUGGGCCCGCCCUUGCCGAGGUCCGUCGCCGAGGGGCGCACGCCGAAGUAGGCCUCGCCGAUGAAGUCGAAGGAGGUGACGUCGUUGAGCUUGUUGAACUCGGCCUUGCCGCCCUCGGCGAGGUCCGACUCGACGGUGGCGAGCAGCGAGGAGAAGUUGGAGCGGAAGACGGGGAUGACGUCGUCCUUGCGGGAGAGCAGGAGGGAGAAGAGCAGCUGCUUCACCUUGGCGUGGGUGGGCUCGGAGGGGUCGAGGUAGGCGCAGACGCGGUGGCCGCCGGUGAGGGAGGUGGAGGGCAUGUAGGUGCCCGUGAACAGGUCCCUCUUCUCCACCUUGUCCAUGUCGAAGAGGACGGGGAAGCUCUUGGCGUCCAGGACCGCCACCACCCGCGGGUCGCGCGCCAUGAAGGGGCCCGGCGGGACGUUCAUGCGCACCACGGUGGAGCCGUAGCGCUCGACGCGGGACUCGAAGUACUUGUCCUGGCCCUGGAAGUAGUAGAAGUCGAGGCGGUCGCGGACGGCGCCCACCAGCGGAAGGCCGUAGCUGCCCGGCACAUCCCUGAGGGCGCUACUGAAACCACGAACGGAGGUCGCCAUAGAUGCUAAGCACUAGCUGCUUGGAUGAUUGCUCGUCUCGGCUUCACCAAGGUUUCAGGGUUUUCGAAGGACUGGAGGAGACGUUGAGUGCUUGUUGGGUAACGCAAGGGCGGGGC